Molecule: ribosomal RNA, 518 nt
Filed under: uncultured bacterium PHOS-HE99
Lineage: Bacteria; Pseudomonadati; Bacteroidota
Description: bacterial SSU rRNA
Rfam family: Bacterial small subunit ribosomal RNA
Source: RNAcentral
GGCAAACGGGUGCGGAACACGUACGCAACCUUCCUCAGAGCGGGGAAUAGCCUCUCGAAAGAGAGAUUAAUACCCCAUAGUAUCCCGAAGUCACAUGGCUUUGGGAUUAAAGCUCCGGCACUUUGGGAUGGGCGUGCGGCUGAUUAGGUAGUUGGUAGGGUAACGGCCUACCAAGCCGACGAUCAGUAGCUGAUGUGAGAGCAUGAUCAGCCACACGGGCACUGAGACACGGGCCCGACUCCUACGGGAGGCAGCAGUGAGGAAUAUUGGUCAAUGGAGGCAACUCUGAACCAGCCAUGCCGCGUGAAGGAUGAAGGUCCUCUGGAUUGUAAACUUCUUUUAUAGAAGAAGAAACCCACGUUUUCUAAUGUGGUUGACGGUACUCUAUGAAUAAGCACCGGCUAACUCCGUGCCAGCAGCCGCGGUAAUACGGAGGGUGCAAGCGUUAUCCGGAUUCACUGGGUUUAAAGGGAGCGUAGGUGGGUUGAUAAGUCAGUGGUGAAAUCUCCGAGCUUAAC